GACGAACUGUCCUAACGUUGUUCGGAAUUACUGGGCGUAAAGGGCGCGUAGGCGGCCUGCUAAGUCGAACGUGAAAUCCCUGGGCUCAACCCAGGAACUGCGUCCGAUACUGGUUGGCUUGAAUCCGGGAGAGGGAUGUGGAAUUCCAGGUGUAGCGGUGAAAUGCGUAGAUAUCUGGAGGAACACCGGUGGCGAAGGCGACAUCCUGGACCGGUAUUGACGCUGAGGCGCGAAAGCCAGGGGAGCAAACGGG
This 253-nucleotide ribosomal RNA is filed under the name uncultured bacterium. Its description in RNAcentral is "partial 16S ribosomal RNA". It matches the Rfam family "Bacterial small subunit ribosomal RNA", at positions 524 to 776 of the family's 1533-position model. The record is from RNAcentral.